GGACCCGCACAAGCAGCGGAGCAUGUUGUUUAAUUCGACGCAACGCGAAAAACCUUACCAAAUCUUGACAUCCCUGUGACCGCUCAUAUAAAGUGAGUUUUCUCUUCGGAGACAUAGGAGACAGGUGGUGCAUGGUUGUCGUCAGCUCGUGUCGUGAGAUGUUGGGUUAAGUCCCGCAACGAGCGCAACCCCUAUCUUUAGUUGCCAUCGGGUCAAGCCGGGCACUCUAGAGAGACUGCCGGAGACAAUCCGGAGGAAGGUGGGGAUGAUGUCAAAUCAUCAUGCCCUUUAUGAUUUGGGCUACAAACGUGCUACAAUGGUCGGUACAACGGGUCGCUAACCGGUAACGGGGCGCUAAUCCAAAAAGCCGAUCUCAGUUCGGAUUGAGGGCUGCAACUCGCCCUCAUGAAGUUGGAGUUGCUAGUAAUCGCGAAUCAGCAUGUCGCGGUGAAUGCGUUCCCGGGUCUU
This 468-nucleotide ribosomal RNA is filed under the name uncultured bacterium. Its description in RNAcentral is "bacterial SSU rRNA". It matches the Rfam family "Bacterial small subunit ribosomal RNA", at positions 917 to 1382 of the family's 1533-position model. The record is from RNAcentral.